GAGCUAGGCUCCUAUUCUUUCGAAAGUACGGAGGCUUCCGUACUUGUAAGUUGUUUUCGAUGAUGGGACAUCUGAUUCGGCGACCGGUUCCGUUAAAUAUGAUCUACGCUAUUGGAACUAUCUAGAAACCAAAUUUCAUAAUUUUUUGACUUCGUUUGUCUAGUAAUCGAGUAGCCUCAAAAUUAAUGGCCGAAAAUAAAAAUCUCAUAAAAAAUAGUGAUAAAGGAGUCAAAUUUUAAAUUGGAAGUAUUGAUCUUGCUAUUGAUAUUAAGUAGAAUUUUUUAUUAAAUUUUUAUGUAAUUUGGAUAAUUCUACACCGUUGAACUUAAAAACAUGCCACAUCGACCGUUAAAAUCGUCAUUUUUGAGACUUUUUGAUCACUCGGUAAAUGAUGUCAAAAAAUUAUAAAAUUUGGUUUCUAGAUAGUUGCAAUAGAGUAGAUCAUACUAAUUAAUAGAGCCGAUCAUCGAAUCGGAUGUCCUAUCAUCGAAAACAACUUAUAAACAGCGGAGGUCUCCGUACAUUCGAAAGUACAUUAUAUAUAU
RNAcentral lists this long non-coding RNA (545 nucleotides) under Ananas comosus (pineapple). Its description in RNAcentral is "long non-coding RNA (ACOM_LNC010247)". The record is from RNAcentral. Lineage: Eukaryota; Viridiplantae; Streptophyta; Magnoliopsida; Poales; Bromeliaceae.